GCGAAGGUGGCGRAAUUGGUAGACGCGCUAGCUUCAGGUGUUAGUGUCCUUACGGACGUGGGGGUUCAAGUCCCCCCCCUCGCACCA
RNAcentral lists this transfer RNA (87 nucleotides) under Salmonella enterica. RNAcentral's name for it is "tRNA-Leu". Lineage: Bacteria; Pseudomonadati; Pseudomonadota; Gammaproteobacteria; Enterobacterales; Enterobacteriaceae. The record is from RNAcentral.